UGGGGGGCUGAAAUGCUCUCUGGGCUUCGGUCAGCUGAGUUCAAUGAGUGCCUUCUCUUCGGAGUUGGCCAUCCACACACACCGUGAACUGUGGCUUCGGCCAUCACAAACUGUUAGUAAUGAAUGUAAUAUCAUAACAAAAACAAAACUUUUAACAACGGAUCUCUUGGCUCUCGCAUCGAUGAAGAACGCAGCGAAAUGCGAUAAGUAAUGUGAAUUGCAGAAUUCAGUGAAUCAUCGAAUCUUUGAACGCACCUUGCGCCCUUUGGUAUUCCGAAGGGCAUGCCUGUUUGAGUGUCAUGAAACCUCACCCCACUUGGGUUUUUGCCUGAGCGGUGGUGUAUUGGGUGUUGCCUUGCCAAAGGCUCGCCUUAAAAACAUAAGCACCUUGGAUGUAAUACGUUUCAUCCUUCUGGGUGGCUGAUAACCCCACAUAUUCAUGAUCUGGCCUCAAAUCAGGUAGGGCUACCCGCUGAACUUAAGCAUAUCAAAACGGCGGAGGAAGCCAUCAUUAAUUAUCCUACUCUACGGUACGGUCAGCUGAGUUCAAUGAGUGCCUUCUCUUCGGAGUUGGCCAUCCCCACCCCCGCAACUGUGGGUUCGGCUCCAAACUGUUUAUUAAUGAAUGUAAAAUCAUAACAAAAAAAAAAUUUUAACAAGGAUCUCUUGGCUUCUCGAUUAAGGAACCGCAAAUGGAUAACUAAUGAGUAUUGCAGAAAUCGUGAAUCAUCGCAUCUUUGACGACUUGCUUUGGUAUUGAAGGCAUGCUGUGUGUGCUGAAACUAUGCGGUUUUGCCGAACGUGGGGAUUGGUGUCGUCUGCCAGGCUCCUUAACUAGCCUGCGAGAAUACCUUCUCCUUCUGGGUGAACCAUUCUUGAUGUUCAUGAUGUCCUCUAUCUAUAGCGAUAAUA
Molecule: ribosomal RNA, 912 nt
Filed under: fungal sp. TZ-2015b
Lineage: Eukaryota; Fungi
Description: eukaryotic LSU rRNA
Rfam family: 5.8S ribosomal RNA (bases 147-300)
Source: RNAcentral